UUUUUUCCAUGUGCAAAUGUGUAAAUGUGUAAAUCUAAAUUUUAAAAAGAAGUGACCUCUUUUAUCUCUUUAUGUACCAAUGCAUUCAUUCAAAUAAUGUGCCAUAUAUUUGCUCACUCUUUUGUCUCUACCUCCUUGGCUUGAUUUAACUCUAGAAGAGUAUGCAGAAACAGUUCAUCUUGCCCUCAGAAAAAUGAUUGACUUGGAAAGAAAUUUUCUGAUUUUUCAAUUUCUUUGGUAACAUUUCAAAUAUUUUUGUUUCUACUCAGUUGUAAAAUAAAGAUACCCAUGUUCAAUCCCAGACAUGUAUUCUUACAUUAUUACUUUUAGUUAAGCAAGUGUGAGAUUUUCCUGAAAUCAGUAUAUAAACAGAUAUAGACUCUUUUUAAAUUUUGUUUAUUUUUAUUUUUACAUUUUGUAAAUGAAUGUAUUACUUUUUUAAUUGAAUUUAUUGGGGUGAUAUUGGUUAAUAAAAUUUUAUAGGUUUUAGGGGUAUAAUUCUGUAAUACAUCAUCUUGUAUAUUGUGUGUUUACAGAUAAUAGGCUUUUUAAAACACUUGCACUCAUUGAAGAAAAGAUGCUUGAGUUUUGAAACAGAAGAAAAAUAUUUCUCAACAGUUCAUUGGAUGAUUUUUUAGUUGUUGGUUUUGGGCUUUUUUUCCUCUUUACUAAACUGAUAAAAAAGGUAAAACAUUUUAAAAAACAAUAAAAUGCUUAUCACAGAUAUUCAUCACAGAAAAGUUUGUUAAGAUUUCAUAUAAAAUUUAAAAAGAAAUAGAAAAGUUUUUUUUCCAUUAUUAUUUUUGGGCAUUUCUCAAUGGUAGAUGUCAUUAUAUCUCAGACCAAGUCCACUUAGCAUUGUACACUGUAUUUGAGUUAUUUCAACAAAUCUAUUAUGCAUAUCUUGAUUUCAGAAGGUAGGUCCAUGUCCUAACCAUUUAGUUAAGUGGAAAUAAUUCUGUUCAUUACAAAUACUACGUGAGACAUCCUGUAUGUUACCUGUUCUUUAAGAAAUAUAAUUUAAUAGAAAGCCAUAGUCUUUUUGUGUCAUGGGUUUGAAUUUAACUCCUGUUUCUACUAUUUAUACUUUCAGCUUGUGCAAGCUUCCUUAUCUUUUAAAUUGAAAUACUUGCUUCUGUAUUGUCAUGAAAUUUAAAUGAGAUUACACACAAACACAUUUACACUAGGUGCAGUGCUUGGCAAAUAUUGGGUAUUUGAUAUAUGAGAGUAAUUGUAGUUUGUUGCUGCUGUUUCUAAUCAUUAUUGUUGUUACACCUUAUUAUUUUUGCAAAGAUGGAGAAAUUGUAAUUGAUUGUUGUUAGGUCAGGUCAGUGGUUCUCAAUUUUUAGCUUACAUCAGAAUUACCUGGAAACCUUUAUACAAAUUAGUUGGCCACGCCUCCAUUGUUUCUGAUUAAAUAAGUCUGUGAUGGGACCCAAGAAUUUGGAUUUCUAACAUUCCCAGGUAAUGCCAGGGAUGAUACUGGUCCUAGUUGGGGGCCAUACUUCAAGAAACUCUAAGUUAAUUGAUUCUACAAGAGAGAAAAAAUAUUGUUAGAGGAAGAAAAACACUAUUUGGAAAUAACUGAAGUUUUUUCCAUUCAUUUGAAGUAUUUUGCUCGGUAUCAUGGCAAAUUCUUCCAAAUUUAGUAUAUGCAAAAAGGGAUGGAUGUUUAAAGAGGAGAGAGACAUAAUUUUAGAUAAAUUUUAGUUUAAUAUAUGCAAAGAUACCAACUUCUACAGACAAAAAAUCCGUUUUUUAAAAUAGAACUAAGUUCUCCCCAUAAAGUCAAAUAUUCAGAAACCAACCUACACAUUAAUAGGGCCCCUUUAUUCUCUCUCAGAAGAAAUUCCCUAGUCAGGUAAAUGUCAUUUUAAAGAAUGUGUGUGUGC
Phyllostomus discolor (pale spear-nosed bat) is the source of this 1892-nucleotide long non-coding RNA. RefSeq lists it as uncharacterized. Lineage: Eukaryota; Metazoa; Chordata; Mammalia; Chiroptera; Phyllostomidae. The transcript is spliced from 2 exons. The record is from RefSeq and is a predicted model, not a curated record.